GAUGAAGAACGUAGCGAACUGCGAUAAGUAAUGUGAAUUGCAGAAUUCGGUGAAUCAUCGAGUCUUUGAACGCACAUUGCGCCCCCUGGCAUUCCGGGGGGCAUGCCUGUCCGAGCGUCAUUGCUGCCCUUCAAGCCCGGCUUGUGUGUUGGGUCGUCGUCCCCCCCGGGGGACGGGCCCGAAAGGCAGCGGCGGCACCGCGUCCGGUCCUCGAGCGUAUGGGGCUUUGUCACCCGCUCGAUUAGGGCCGGCCGGGCGCCAGCCGGCGUCUCCAACCUUCUAUUUUACCAGGUUGACCUCGGAUCAGGUAGGGAUACCCGCUGAACUUAAGCAUAUCAAUAAGCGGAGGA
Molecule: unclassified non-coding RNA, 350 nt
Filed under: soil metagenome
Description: partial contains 5.8S ribosomal RNA, internal transcribed spacer 2, and large subunit ribosomal RNA
Rfam family: 5.8S ribosomal RNA (bases 1-120)
Source: RNAcentral